UACGUAGGAGGCAAGCGUUGUCCGGAAUUACUGGGCUUAAAGCGUGUGUAGGCGGAUCGUUAAGUACCUUGUGAAAUCCCACGGCUCACCCGUGGAACUGCUGGGUAUACUGGCGGUCUUGGGCCAACUAGGGGCAGCUGGAACAAGCGGUGGAGCGGUGAAAUGCGUAGAUAUCGUUUGGAACGCCAAUGGUGAAAACAGGUUGCUGGGAGUGUGCUGACGCUGAGACACGAAAGCCAGGGGAGCAAACGGG
This 253-nucleotide ribosomal RNA is filed under the name uncultured bacterium. Its description in RNAcentral is "partial 16S ribosomal RNA". It matches the Rfam family "Bacterial small subunit ribosomal RNA", at positions 524 to 776 of the family's 1533-position model. The record is from RNAcentral.